UACGGAAGGCAGCAGGGGGGAAUAUUGCACAAUGGGCGCAAGCCUGAUGCAGCCAUGCCGCGUGUAUGAAAAAGGCCUUCGGGUUGUAAAGUACUUUCAGUCGUGAGGAAGGUGUUAAGGUUAAUAACCUUAGCAAUUGACGUUAGCGACAGAAGAAGCACCGGCUAACUCCGUGCCAGCAGCCGCGGUAAUACGGAGGGUGCGAGCGUUAAUCGGAAUUACUGGGCGUAAAGGGCACGCAGGCGGUUAAUUAAGUUGGAUGUGAAAUCCCCGGGCUUAACUGGGAAUGGCAUUCAAGACUGGUUAGCUAGAGUCUUGUAGAGGGGGUAGAAUUCCAUGUGUAGCGGUGAAAUGCGUAGAGAUGUGGAGGAAUACCGGUGGCGAAGGCGGCCCCUGGACAAAGACUGACGCUCAUGUGCGAAAGCGUGGGGAGCAAACAGGGAUUAGAUACC
This 452-nucleotide ribosomal RNA is filed under the name uncultured bacterium. RNAcentral describes it as "bacterial SSU rRNA". It matches the Rfam family "Bacterial small subunit ribosomal RNA", at positions 340 to 786 of the family's 1533-position model. The record is from RNAcentral.